UGGCUAUGAUUAGAUGUUAUCCGCGCUUCUGAGAGCAAUCCAUGAAGCAUAAAAAUAACAAUGGUUGAAUUUCUUAAUAUGAGCCG
Small nucleolar RNA from Cornus florida, 86 nucleotides. NCBI's taxonomy places the organism in Eukaryota, Viridiplantae, Streptophyta, Magnoliopsida, Cornales, Cornaceae. The record is from RefSeq and is a predicted model, not a curated record.